Molecule: long non-coding RNA, 753 nt
Filed under: Gallus gallus (chicken)
Lineage: Eukaryota; Metazoa; Chordata; Aves; Galliformes; Phasianidae
Description: long non-coding RNA NONGGAT002187
Source: RNAcentral
CACCCCAUGAACUCCGCGCUCCUCUCGGCUGUGGUUGGACGGGGACAGAGGCAUGGACACGGCUUGGCACUGUUCUGUUGAUGUUCUGUUUGUGCUGCCAUAGAAACCUGAGCUCCCGCUGCCGAGUGACACGUGUAACUGGGCUCCCUGUGGCUGGGAUAAGUGCUCCUGGCCUGGUGCAACAGAGAGAAGGUUCCCAGGGUUCAGCUGCGAUGAGAAGCAUCGUGACAUAGGUGAGUUUUCCAGACAUGAGGAGCACCAAGAAAAGCCUCUGGCUCUUGAAGGAGAAAUGCCCCCACAGAUUGCUCUGCAAGAAGACCUGCCAGCUCAGCUCUCAUCUUGGCAGACAGGCUGAUGGAGAAGGACUCAUUCAGGGACAAUUGACCCAGGAACAUGAGGUUGCAACUUCGUGAUUUUACAUUAAGCUCUUAAGGCACCGUUCCAGCCGUUUUCCUGGCGCUUGCUUUGUGGCAAAACUACAGCUGCUGUGACUGCAUGGGAACCAAUCCAGCUGAAAAAUACCCUGCCCGAGGAAAAAAUCCUUUCAUUUUGCUCACCGUGAUGGGCUGAGGAAGAGAGAGACGCGUGGGAUGGUGGGAUUGCCUCUGUCAGUACCAGUCUCUGCUUAGGGAGGUGGCGAAGCUGCUGCUUUGUGGUGGUAGAACUGGUGAUCCCGUGCACCCUGCACACACAGUUCCUUCGGAGGGGUAUGUGGGGCAGAACAAGAAGGAUUCCUAAAGUCAUGGGUCAGGC